UGAAGGUGAGGUUAUCUCUCUGGAGAUCCCUGUCUACCUGAGGCUUUCCAAAGGUGCAUUGCAGGAGGACCUGGGCAGGCAGCUGUGCUGUGCCAGGCGAGUGAAAGCCGCAGAGCCGUGGUAGCAGAGUGCUCACCCCGUGCUGCUCUGCUGGUUGGCAGAGCUUACUUGGAGUGCAGCAUUAGCACAGUGACGCCGUUUUUGGAUGAGAUCUCCCAUACCUCUUUGUUUGCAGUAUAUGAUGUGAAAAUGCAGGACCCAAAUCUCGAGCAAGACCUGCAGAUAUUGGGCAGCUGGGACGCUGCGCUGCCCACUGUCCAUGUGGGCUUUGGAGCAGGCUUGUGGAGUGACAAAUGUACACCUGAGGAGCAGAGGGAGGAAGCUGAUUUUGGGCAGUGCGGGACAGAGAAGAAGCACCAGCUGGUGGAAGCAUAAUGCAGAGAUGUGAAAGUACAGGAGUGCUUCCCCAGAUUCUCUGAGAUGCCAGAGCCUGCACCUGUCGGAUUCAGCCCCGGGGCUCGUGCUGCUGCCCAUGCAUCCUGCACGCGGCUGUCAGGGUGCUGCUGCCCUGCAAUGAGCCUCUUGCAGUCUGCUUGGUGGCAGCCGUGUCAUUUCUGUAAGUCAUUCAGUGUUCAUUGCAGUAAUGGCUUGAGCUUGACUGUUUUAUGUUCCAAGUACUACUUUGACCCUUGGGCUAUAAUAUCAGCCCAGUGAUUAUUCAGUUUCUUUUAUGAAGUGCCUGAGUGCCAACAGGAAAGAGCACAAGCAUCCCUGUGCAGCCUGAUGUUCAGAGCGCUCAUCUGGGAUGUCUGAGCAGGGCAGUACAGUGCUUGGACAUAGAUCACUUGCUAUCCCAUGGUAGCUGUGACUGGUUUAAUAAUACAGGAGUUUCUGCAGUACCAAUUAAUGAGGUCACCUUUGGUGGAGGUUGGUUUGUUUGUUUUUAGUGUUUGUAUUUGUAUAGUUAGAUCAAGCUUUUAGAUGAUCUAUUCGGUUUCAUUACCACCAAACAUGCAUGAAAUACUGUAGUACGUAUCAUCAUUUCAAAAUGUGAAGCAUCUGAGCAAUGGAGUUUAAACAAGUACGGACUAUAACUGGGAAGUUUCCUGGGGAAAAUAAUUCCUGAAGAGAGAAGGUUUUCGUGCUCAAAACUCAUUCCAGCAGGAAGUGCAGCUCUGUGCCAAGGCAGGCCAGGCAGCGGCGAGGCCUGGCUGUGGAUGAAUUUCCAACUCUUACCAAUUAUAAUAUGGAAAUGAGAUCCACCUUUCUAUUGUCAUUUUUACCACAGAAGUGCAAACCCAGGAUAUGAUUUCCUAUCACAACUGCUGAAAACAUGUUUCUGUGGCACUCCUUUUCUGAAUCGUUAAGCCCUGGGUAUCCUAGACUUUGCUGUCCAUUUCAAGAACUCCUCCUUACAUGAAGUGUUCACAGGCGAUUGCUGAGCUGCAUCCUACAGUGGCAGAGAUCAAAGUAUGCAGAGUAACUGUUGGUUCACUGUUCCUUGUUGGAUAAUUUCCCCGCACAAGAAGCUGAUCUCUUUUUUGCACAGGAUUGAAACAGCCAUUUUCUGAAGUCACCAUGUGUGGUCUAUUCAAGAGCUGCAGAAUUACUGUAAUAAUUCAGGAUACUGAGUUCAGGAUGCUGUUCCAUCCAUUGCAACUGAAAGAAGGAUGGUGGCUGGGAGAGAACUUUCACUGUGUGGUCUUAAAACCUUGCAGAUCAGUUGAAGAGUAAUGUGUUGCACGCUUCCAGUUUUGAUGCACUAGUCAGGAAGAAUGUGAAAGAUAAAGAUCAGUGACAAAGCGUGGUUGGGUGAAUCAAUAAACCACAGGAUAUUUCAGAUUCUGGAGCAGUAAGAAACAGAACGGCUAUACGUGGGUGGCAUGGGAAGGGUAAGUAUUCAGAGAGAUCGACACUUAAGGUGUUCAUAUGCCAGAAUGUAGACACAGAACUGAAAAGUAAUGAAAUGGUAACAGAAAACCUCAAACUGAAUUGGAAAGGCCAAGGAAAAGGUAGACGGGGGGGGGGAAGAGACGAGGCCCUAGCACAUCCUUAAAAUUACUUAAUGUGAAGUGUCUGUCUUUGCUGUUUACUCUAUGGGACUGCUGAAGUUAAAGAAGCUCUUAACCUGAAAUAUUUCAUUCUUUCCCCCUGCUCAGUGCCCUCAUUGACUCUUACUGAUGUUCUCAUUUUAAACAGAUGUCCCUUGUGACAGAAAGUUGUGAUCUGAUUUUUGCAUUGGACAGGUUCAUGUUCUGCCAUUGCUUUCUAUGAAGGUACCAGAGAUCCAAUCUGUGACUCACUGAACUGAGUGGUGGCCAAUACUCAGGUUCUAAAUCUGUAAUCACUAUAUUCACUGAAAGCUUUCAAUGCUUUCAAGGAGGGAAAAGUCAUGAGAGGAUGAUCUUUCUCUUUGUAACAGGUGACUAGUACUUGGGAGCACUCAAACUGCCUGCCUUGGCUAGUACAGCUGGCGGUGAGGCUCUCCGGUAAUAGUUCAAAGGAGAGGCUCUAGUAUUUUGUGACUAUUAGGGACAUUUUAAAAAUAAAAUAAUUUCAGAGUAGAUGGAAGUUGCUCCCGCGUUCAGCUGGGAUUCAGAAUGGUAGUGGUGCAGUCACAGAUAGGCCAGAGGUUGCUGGGAGCAUUGCCCAUGAUACGGUUGAUUUGUUGUGGUUGAACUGGUGAUGCCUUAUGAGGAAUUUUAUUUCUGGAGCUCUUUAGUGAAACCAAAACUCACCAAAACAAAAAUCUUCAGCACCUUUUAAGUGGAGUCCUAGUAAAUCCUAGUAGCUUGUGAACUGGGGUGAUGAUGCUAACUGGAUAUCAGAUAGCAGGCUGAGUUCACAUCUCAGGGUUGGGUACACGAGCAGCGAAAGCUUAAUUCACCAUGUUAUUAUCACGCUGCCUUCUAUUUCAGAAGUCACUUUCCUUUGUUCACAUUACAUUCAAAUUCAUGUCUUAGUAUGCAGUGCUCCAAUUAGUUUGUGGUCCAAAUGUACCUUUCAGGGCCAAACCAGAUGGAGGACCACGGGCCUCGGUGCUCUCAUGCCAAGCAGAGCGGUGGGAGCAGUGGUUUUCACACGCGUCCACUGAACACUGCAGCUCUUGUACUGGGGGAGUAGAAAAUGUUACCUGGUCACUUCUGUUCUCUACAGACUGAUGAUCACUAAAAUCAUAGGAUGUGUCAUCCACAUCACCUCGUAAAGCAGGAAUUUCUUCGAGACUGUACCAAUCUACAUUGCUCCUAGAGUCUGUGCUUCUUUCCUACAUUGAGCUGAAACUUUCUUAAGUUUUCACUUCGUUUGUCAUAUGAAUUUUCUGUGAGCUGGAAGAGAGGAUGAGGUUCUGUUUGUUUCUUUGUUUGUUGGUUUGUUAUUAAAUCUACGGUCCAUCCUAUCCCUGCUACUCAGCUCUUUCAGUGGAGGAAGCCCACAGUAAUUUUCCAUAAUGCUUUUCAUACCAGCUUGCUUUGUUGACUAUUUUGUUUAUUGGAUUUCUUACUUUAAAAUCUGUUCCCUUAUUGGCUUCUCUUUAAUUUCCUCCUCUUUUGCUGAGCUGCAUGAAGGUAAGCAGAGUCCUAAAGCUAUUCUACCCUAAGUUCUGGUAUUUUAUAUAUAUAAAACUUCAGGGCUGGUGGCAAUGAUACCUGGGAUUAUUUAUGGGCUUUCAUAAAAAGAAAGAGGAAAAUACAGAGCUGCAUGGCUUCUCUCUUCCUUCCCCUUUUCCCAACCCCCUCCCCACUGAGGAGUUUAAUUUUAAAUGAUAAAUGUGGAAAUUAGAGACCGUCGAGAAAAUCCAAUUUGGUGAGGAGUUUUAAAAAUCCCAUAAUAAACGCAGAGUGAAAUGUAUGAUUUAAUGCGGGGCGCCAAUGGCUGCUAUUAUGUGCUAUUAGCAAAUCGGGGUUGAGAGUGAAUCUUUAUCACUUGGUGAGUGCGGGCUAGGCCUGCCUUUGCUUCUGCUAUUGAUUUGUAGCCGCUUGUCAUAAUGACAUCGGGAAGCAAUGAAUGGAAGAUGUGCUUUUGAUAGGAUUGAAGGGGUGCAAAGGGGGGAGAAAAAAUUCAGCAAGUUUUCUAUCUCUUCUGCCUGAUUAGAUUUUUUUUCUUCUUUUAAGAGCUUUCACAUUCCAAUAAAAAUGCUAAAUCAGCUCUGAAGCAGAAUUGUUAGGGAGUAAAUAGCUAGUCACAUUUAAAAGAGGAAAAGAUCUGACUUUACAGCUCUGACUUUACAGCAGUAGAUGAAUCUAAAGAAUAUUUCUGGCUCCACAAAAAUGAUAGCGGUGGGCACGAGGGUGGCUGAGAGCCGUGCAAGGGGAUCUGCUGUGAUGGCACUGCAGACAGCCAGACACAGGGAGGUGGUGUGUACGCAUGGUGUGGCUCAUCAGAAUACAGGCAAAUUAAAUCUCUGACGUGUCUGUAUUGAAGAACAGGAAAAUAAUGAUUCUUCAUCUCUGAACCAAAGGUACCUGGAAUGAAAAACCCAGACUUUGCUUUGGAGUAGCAAAGAAUAAAGAUCUCCUUUACAUCUGGGAAAGGAAGACAUUUGUCACUUUAAUAAUAGAUAUUUCUCAUCAGAAAUCUGGAGUUUUGAUUGAAGGGAGCACAGUUGCUGCGCUGUUUGGAUAAUGUGGGUUCUAAGGAAACAGGGCUGCAGCAUAGCAAGCCCAUUCCUGGGUCUGGAGCACAUGGUGAAUAAGACAAAAUCCAUGUGCACUCCGGAGUGCAUCUGUGUAUGAGCCGUGAAUGAAUCUACUUGCAAAGGCCCCAUGAAUUUGCAUUUCUUAUCAGAAGAUCCUUGCCAUUAUAAUUUCCUGCCUCUCCAUCAUUCUACCCUCCCUGGGAAGGGGGGGAUGUGUGCUUACCAAGGAACAGAGCUCUGCUUUGAGUUCCUCCUUAUGAAAGUCCAUGCACAUCUUCUCUCAUUAUUAUUAUUACUGUUAUUAUGAUUACUCUGGUCUGCUGUGGUGAAGAGCCGUAGGUGAUUAAGGGUUGUGACUCUGGUCCUCAGUUCCUUCCUUUCACCCUAACCAGCCUCGGCUAUUCUUAUUUAUGGAAGCCUUCAUGGGACAGCUGAAUGAGCCUGGUUUACAGGGCUCACUGGCAGAGUAUGAAAUGGCAGAUUAGAAAUCAAUGCAGAGAGUCCAAGUGCCUACUUCAUCAUUCAGGAGAAAGAAAUACAGUAUUUCUGGUCUAAGCCUUGCACUCAUUAAAAUCACAUCCUUUAAAAAACCUUUUAAAUUAAAACAGUGAUCAGUAGGAGUGAGGAAAAUCAUAUGCAGAGGGAAUUUUCUGAGGGAGGACAGGCUGAAGGCAGUGUGCGGAUGAAAUAUGGUGUUUACCACGCUGCCCAUUGGCUGGACUGCGCACUCUAGGUGCAUGGGGUGCUUGCAUUCUGUGGAAGAUUGUCAUCUAAUGGUACCAUCAGAAGGUGCCGUGGGCAGCAGGAAACACCUGGAUGAUGGAACCGAAGGCGGACUGCUGGCAGAUGGAAUGGGUGGUGCUGCCUGAUGGCGUUGAGUCGGGAGCAUGAGGCACAGAGCACAGCAGUGGGGGGAGACUGUGGCCACAGCAGCAUGAUGCUGUUCUGACCCUGGGGCCAGGACUGGACUCCUCACAUUCUGAGAUGGAGAUGGGCACAGCUGCACUUGGCCCCGUACUGGCUCUGGGCGGACAGAAGAGCCGUGUGUGGAGCAGGGCUAGAGCUGCAUGGUGCCAGAUCAUGGCCCAGCAUGGCGCACGGCCUGCCCUGGCAAGCAGCACUGCUGGCAGGACUGCCCAGAUGGACUGGUUUCAGGGCACUGCAGAACGAGGCCCCGGAGCUUCACCUUGGGGCUGGCAAAUGCCUUCAGUAGGUCUCCAGCACCCCCUGCACAGUGGGAUGCAUGGUGUAGGGAUGCAUCUGACCCCUGGCCUGUGGUCCCAGGGACAGGGAAAUGAGGCCAGCAGAGCUCAGCGCUGCUUCAGAGAGGGACCAAUGCUUACAGCAUGACUGGCAUGCCAGGUGGGGGGGGAGCUCCACUGCAAACCCUGAGAAAUAGGGGUGAUGCCUGGGAAAAACUACAGAUGUGGAGGUCAUUUUAACCAAUAUUUGAGAUCAAAGGCCACAGAGUAAAUCUCCUAUAGAAAGAAUGCCUUUUAGAGAUAGAACAGAAAGAAUCCAGCAAUUAUACAGAUUUGGGAAAAUUGCGCGGCUCUCUGAGUAUGACAUCUAAUUUACAAUCUAGAUGGCAAGAGGACUUAUGGAAGGGAGACGAGGCAAAGAUGAAUUACAUUUGUAAUAUAUGUAUUAAGUUAAUGACUGGACUUGCAGAGAACUGCAUUUACAGAACAAAGCCUACAGAGAGAUGCUUAUAUCCCCAAUAUUUUACAAUAAUUUAGCAAGAUCAGAGUAGGAUACGAUUAUGACAUCUCCGAUGUCUGAC
Numida meleagris (helmeted guineafowl) is the source of this 6419-nucleotide long non-coding RNA. RefSeq lists it as uncharacterized. NCBI's taxonomy places the organism in Eukaryota, Metazoa, Chordata, Aves, Galliformes, Numididae. The record is from RefSeq and is a predicted model, not a curated record. The transcript has 3 exons.